GUGUUGUACAAAGGAGAGAAGUUUAGUACUCCCCUUGAUAAGGAUGGGACGGGCCUUAAUGGCCUUACAACACAGAAAUGGUUAAGGCAUUGCUAUCUACUUACUGGCAUCUCACCAUGUUCU
Hypanus sabinus (Atlantic stingray) is the source of this 123-nucleotide small nuclear RNA. NCBI's taxonomy places the organism in Eukaryota, Metazoa, Chordata, Chondrichthyes, Myliobatiformes, Dasyatidae. The record is from RefSeq and is a predicted model, not a curated record.